Small nuclear RNA from Otolemur garnettii (small-eared galago), 164 nucleotides. Its record names the gene U1. It matches the Rfam family "U1 spliceosomal RNA". Rfam says of the family: U1 is a small nuclear RNA (snRNA) component of the spliceosome (involved in pre-mRNA splicing). Its 5' end forms complementary base pairs with the 5' splice junction, thus defining the 5' donor site of an intron. The record is from Ensembl. Lineage: Eukaryota; Metazoa; Chordata; Mammalia; Primates; Galagidae.
AUGCCUACCUGGCAGAGGAGAUAUCAUGAUUACGAAAGGGGUUUUCCCAGGGCAAGGCUUAUCCAUUGCACUCCGGAUGUGCUAACCCCUGCAAUUUCCCCAAAUGUGGGAAACUCGACUGUAUAAUUUGUGGUGAUGGAGGAUUGCGUUCACGCUCUCCCCUG